CGCUGCGGGCCCCGCGAUGCCUCCGGGCGCGGUGCGGGUGCUGCUGCUGGGGCUGCGGCCCUACCCGCAGGCGCUGCGGGUGCAGGAGCGCUGCGUGGCGGCGGCGCGGGCGGCCGCGGCCGAGAGCCUGGUGCUGAGCGAGCCGGCGGGGCCCGUGUACGCCUGGGGGCUGCGGGGGGCGCCGGGGCCGGCGGCGGCCGCGGGGCUGCGGGCGCGGGGAGCGGCGCUGGUGGCGGCGCGGCGCGGGGGCCACGUCACGUUCCACGGGCCCGGGCAGCUCCUGGCCUUCCCCGUGCUCGACCUGCGCCGCCGCCGCCUCCCGCUGCGCCGCUACGUGGGGGCCCUGGAGGAGCUGGGCCUGAGGCUCUGCCGCCGCCUCGGCCUCGGCGCAGCCCGCGCCCUCCCGCCGCCCUUCACCGGCGUCUGGCUCGGGGAGAGCAAGGUCUGCGCCAUCGGGGUGCACUGCAGGAGCCACAUCACAUCGCAUGGGCUGGCGCUGAACUGCUGCACCGACCUCAGCUGGUUCGAGCACAUUGUGCCCUGCGGGCUGGAGGGGAAAGGGGUCACCUCACUGAGCCGAGAGCUGGGCCGGCACGUCCCGGUGGAGCACGUCCUCGAGCCCUUCCUCGACUCCUUCCGGGAGGUCUUUGACUGCACCUUGGUCUUCUCGGAGGAGCCCGGGGACUAAGAGAGCCGUGAUGGGAGCCCUGGUGAACUCCAGUGUCCUGGUGUCCUGGUGUGAACCCUUGGGGUGGUGGUGAUGGAGCCACCUGGGGUGGUGGUGAUGGAGCCACCUGGGGCUUUACUGCAAAGUGCCUUUGCCUGCGGUGGUACAGAGAGGGUCAGGCUGUUGCUUAAACACCCAAACCCCCAUCAGGGCUGCUGUCCACAGCUCCAUGGGUCGAGACCUCCAUGGGUACCACAUCCCCGCUGCGCACUUGGGAGAUGCUCAAAUAGGUGCUUUUGUGGGUUUAUCUCUGCCUGUUUUCUCCUAAAUAUCCCAGAUUUGGGUGAGCACUCACACCCCCAAUGGAUGACAAGAAGGGGGUCGAGCAUCCUUCCCUCGCUGCUGCGUAAAGAGGCAGAUUUUCUAUAAAGAGAGUUGCUGGGAACUUCA
Pezoporus flaviventris is the source of this 1117-nucleotide RNA transcript. It is a transcript of the gene named lipoyl(octanoyl) transferase 2, with no coding region annotated. The record is from RefSeq and is a predicted model, not a curated record. NCBI's taxonomy places the organism in Eukaryota, Metazoa, Chordata, Aves, Psittaciformes, Psittacidae. The transcript has 3 exons.